AGUGAACGCUGGCGGUAGGCCUAACACAUGCAAGUCGAACGGCAGCACAGUAAGAGCCUGCUCUUACGGGUGGCGAGUGGCGGACGGGUGAGGAAUACAUCGGAAUCUACUUUUUCGUGGGGGAUAACGUAGGGAAACUUACGCUAAUACCGCAUACGACCUACGGGUGAAAGCAGGGGAUCUUCGGACCUUGCGCGAUUGAAUGAGCCGAUGUCGGAUUAGCUAGUUGGCGGGGUAAAGGCCCACCAAGGCGACGAUCCGUAGCUGGUCUGAGUGGAUGAUCAGCCACACUGGAACUGAGACACGGUCCAGACUCCUACGGGAGGCAGCAGUGGGGAAUAUUGGACAAUGGGCGCAAGCCUGAUCCAGCCAUACCGCGUGGGUGAAGAAGGCCUUCGGGUUGUAAAGCCCUUUUGUUGGGAAAGAAAAGCAGCAGGUUAAUACCCCGCUGUUCUGACGGUACCCAAAGAAUAAGCACCGGCUAACUUCGUG
This 492-nucleotide ribosomal RNA is filed under the name uncultured bacterium. RNAcentral's name for it is "partial 16S ribosomal RNA". It matches the Rfam family "Bacterial small subunit ribosomal RNA", at positions 29 to 507 of the family's 1533-position model. The record is from RNAcentral.